This 696-nucleotide ribosomal RNA is filed under the name Streptomyces sp. LK2131.1. RNAcentral describes it as "partial 16S ribosomal RNA". It matches the Rfam family "Bacterial small subunit ribosomal RNA", at positions 78 to 790 of the family's 1533-position model. The record is from RNAcentral. Lineage: Bacteria; Bacillati; Actinomycetota; Actinomycetes; Kitasatosporales; Streptomycetaceae.
CUUCGGGGUGUNUNAAUAGAGAAAGGGUGAGUAACACGUGGGCAAUCUGCCCUUCACUCUGGGACAAGCCCUGGAAACGGGGUCUAAUACCGGAUAAUACUUUCCUCCUCCUGGAGGAAGGUUGAAAGCUCCGGCGGUGAAGGAUGAGCCCGCGGCCUAUCAGCUAGUUGGUGGGGUAAUGGCCUACCAAGGCGACGACGGGUAGCCGGCCUGAGAGGGCGACCGGCCACACUGGGACUGAGACACGGCCCAGACUCCUACGGGAGGCAGCAGUGGGGAAUAUUGCACAAUGGGCGAAAGCCUGAUGCAGCGACGCCGCGUGAGGGAUGACGGCCUUCGGGUUGUAAACCUCUUUCAGCAGGGAAGAAGCGAAAGUGACGGUACCUGCAGAAGAAGCGCCGGCUAACUACGUGCCAGCAGCCGCGGUAAUACGUAGGGCGCAAGCGUUGUCCGGAAUUAUUGCGCGUAAAGAGCUCGUAGGCGGCUUGUCACCUCUGUUGAGAAAGCCCGGGGCUUAACCACGGGUCUGCAAUCGAUACGGGCNNGCUAGAGUGUGGUAGGAGANAUCGAAAUUCCUGGUGUAGCGGUGAAAUGCCCAGAUAUCANGANNANCNCNGGGGUGAAGGCCGAAUUAUGGGGNCNNUACUGACNCUGAGNANCCAAAGCGUGGGGAGGANANGNNUNNANAUACUGNNG